AUGUUGGCUGCUGCCGCCGGGCCGUCCGCAUCGUCAUCUGCUCAACCGCCCCCAGGCUGGCGCCCUACACUGAGUCCUGCACCACCCACCAGUACUCCAUCUGCGGUUGCAUGGCGGCCUCCUCAUGAUCCUUGGACGGGGCUCGUUCAGGCAUGGCCCAUGCCCUGGUCCGCUCCAUCCGCCCUCGGUGCUCCGCCGGCAUACUCAGGUGCCUGGCAACCCGGCCUUCGGCCGCUUACUGGUGCUCCCGGGGUUCUCAACCCCCGACAGCCGGCCAAUGCCUAUCACGCCGCCCUGACGUAUGCUCCUUAUGGUCAUUGCACCACCGACAGCGGCGCCUACUACACACCUCAGCCGGCCCUGCUCCCGACGCCACCCUCACCACAGCCGGCCAAUGCCUCUCACGCCGUCCCGACCAACACGACGGGCAAUGAGAGCCGCGACGCCGCCUUGAAGAAGGGAACGAGUUUCAUCGCCGUCAAUCCAUCCGAAGAUAGAUCAGGUUUUAACCCCGGCCAACACUCACCACCACCGGACGCCACACCCCGCGACCAUGCCGCCCACAUGACCAUGGCCACCGGGCAGCACCUAACCACGGGCUCUGCCCAUGAGCACCGUGAAACCACCAGCCUGUCAGCCCCGUCCGCCGGCGAGGAAAAGAGAGAAAGAGGAGAGAACAUACCAGGGCAGCAGCAACUAAGACUUCGCCAGGGCCAUGCUCUAGAGCGGCAUGGGUACUACUAUGAUGUUUACGUAAGGGCGGCUGGGCCACAUUGGAGGAAUGCCCCUAUCGGCCGGGUCGUGGCCAUUUUGGACGCUCUAUUUCUCCAAAGAAGAAUUUGUCCUCUCCACUCUGUUCGUUGCGUCCUGCUCCACGGCUCUGUUGGCUACGACUCCCCAUCGAACGAUUGCUUCCGUCGACUGCUGGCAGCAGGAGAAAAGUCUCUCUCUCUCUCACAUCCAGAACGACAUCCAGACCGUCCUAGAUAUCCCACCGCUCAUGGGAUUAGGCCCUGUGCCAACGCGGAAUAUUCUUCUAAAUUAGAUUCUGAAGCCAUCUCAUUGUCAUUGUCGCCUCCACUUCGGUUGCCUCUGUUGCUGCCUCCACUUCUGCUGCUUCUGGUACUGCUGUUGUCCUCGCCGUCGCUUGACAACAUAAUGACCUCCGCCCCCGCCCUCCACCCCCACCCCACGCAGCUAGAUGCUCGUACAGGCGGAGUUAUGCCUCCACUUGCUCUGGGUAGAGGCGACGGAGUUCUGCCAAUGUACACCUCCACUUGCUCUGGCCAGACGUGGCUGCGCCGGGUGCCGAUGAAUCCAUCCAAAAUGGAGCGGCACCGGCGGCCAGGAUGCGUCAAAUGCGACGCCGAUAGGGAGGGCAGUAGAUCUGCCGAUUUAGGCGCCGGCGCCGGCAAGAGAGCACCAAAUCCGGGUGGGGGAGUAGCACGGCGGGUCCUACUAGCGCUGGUGGUGGCCGGCGGAGGCUAG
RNAcentral lists this ribosomal RNA (1488 nucleotides) under Triticum aestivum (bread wheat). RNAcentral's name for it is "partial small subunit ribosomal RNA". The record is from RNAcentral. Lineage: Eukaryota; Viridiplantae; Streptophyta; Magnoliopsida; Poales; Poaceae.